CCUACGUGAGGCUGCAGUAGGGAAUCUUCCACAAUGGGCGAAAGCCUGAUGGAGCAACGCCGCGUGGGUGAAGAAGGUCUUCGGAUCGUAAAACCCUGUUGUUAGAGAAGAAAGUGCGUGAGAGUAACUGUUCACGUUUCGACGGUAUCUAACCAGAAAGCCACGGCUAACUACGUGCCAGCAGCCGCGGUAAUACGUAGGUGGCAAGCGUUAUCCGGAUUUAUUGGGCGUAAAGGGAACGCAGGCGGUCUUUUAAGUCUGAUGUGAAAGCCUUCGGCUUAACCGGAGUAGUGCAUUGGAAACUGGGAGACUUGAGUGCAGAAGAGGAGAGUGGAACUCCAUGUGUAGCGGUGAAAUGCGUAGAUAUAUGGAAGAACACCAGUGGCGAAAGCGGCUCUCUGGUCUGUAACUGACGCUGAGGUUCGAAAGCGUGGGUAGCAAACAGGAUUAGAUACCCUAGUAGUC
RNAcentral lists this ribosomal RNA (465 nucleotides) under uncultured bacterium. RNAcentral describes it as "partial 16S ribosomal RNA". It matches the Rfam family "Bacterial small subunit ribosomal RNA", at positions 338 to 795 of the family's 1533-position model. The record is from RNAcentral.